AAAUCGCUCUAAAUGCUGUCAGUUAAUGGCUAUUCUUAAGAUUUCAAGAUCAAAACCGAGGAAAAUACGGUCAUGGUUAAGGCUUUCGCCGAUUGUUACUUUUCAUUUUAUUUCUUCCUUCGCCGAACCGAUUUGUUAAUACCAAUGAUUGCGGUGAAACCCACUGAAAUUAAUUCAGAUGCAGUCUGCAGAUUGUUAGGUGCAUUACAAGGUGUUUAUGAUGCAGGUAAAAAAUGCGAGUACCUUGUCUAUCUUCAGACGUUCGAUAUCUAUCGGAUGCCGCGCGAAAUAGCUCUCCGGCCUAACUACAAUACCUUAGAUGAGUAAGAUUUAAAAAUAUGCAAUGAAACAGAUUGAGAACAAUUUGGUAUAAAAUUUGGACUUUUUUGAAACAGGUUUGUUUUUAUAGUUUUAUGUUGGAAAAUUCAUGUCGAGUUGGGUGCCGACGGAUGGUUGCAUUGGAUAAUUAUAUAAAAAUUGGGUUUAAGAAGCUUGAAAGUUGAAACUGUUCACAGGAUUUUUUUCAAAACUGGCUAAUUUUUAACAAAUAUUUUUAUGGGAUAAAUGUUUCCCUCUUAAAGAGAAGAAUCUUGUAGGUAGUAAGAAGUAGUAAGAUUUAAUUUCUAUUCGUUGGUGUCGAAUGAACAGAAUAUGGAAACAAUAGUAUUAAAGUAUUUUUUAACUCUACAGAACGAUUCAUGUUCACAGAGCGGCGUUUCCUCUGAAAAAUGAUUAUUCUAAUAGCUCGUGUUUUUACGUGACGAAUUGUUGAACGUUGGCUUCCAAACUGUGUCGAGUGAGGUGAAUCUUGAAUCGUCAGUAUAGAAGAAGCUUUUCAAUUUAUCGAUCAUUGCAAUUUGAAUCAGAUUCACUAUGCUUAUCAAGAAUAACUUUGUAAAAAAAUUAUGCUAAAUUUGCCCUUCUAGAAGCUCUUGUUUAUAUAGCGCUAACUGUUGAAAGUUAGCAAUCAAAAUGGGCCCAAUGAAGAGAAUAUUGAAAAAUCAGUCAAAGUUUUAUUUUUAAGUUUAUAGAACUGCGCCUUUUAAACCAAAUCGUAACAAUGUGGAGUGAGGACUGAGGAGAAUCUUAUAUUAGUAUUGAUGACGCUUUUAAUUUAUCGAACAUUACGAUUUAAAUAAUAUUUACAACGUUUAUAGAUAAAAGGUUUGUGAAUAAA
Dendroctonus ponderosae (mountain pine beetle) is the source of this 1177-nucleotide long non-coding RNA. RefSeq lists it as uncharacterized. The record is from RefSeq and is a predicted model, not a curated record. The transcript is spliced from 2 exons. NCBI's taxonomy places the organism in Eukaryota, Metazoa, Arthropoda, Insecta, Coleoptera, Curculionidae.